GACUAGUUUUAUUAUUAACAAAUCAAAAAGAAAAAGCUAUCACUUUUCUCUUCUCCUUCACCGAAAUAUGCAGCAAAGAAAGGGUUUUGAAGCUGGAAAAUUUCAGCAACAUAUUUCCCUUGCUUAUCAAUGAAAUCGAGAUUUGGACCUAGAACGGAAAGAAAUCGAUUAAGGGAUGAUUAUGUCCUUUUCACCUUUGUGGUAUCGAGAGUUUCCAGGUUAGCUCGGGUUGGAGGUCAUCAGAGAUAUUAUCACACUGUCGAGUUAACGCUAUCGGCGUAAGUAAACUCAAGUGAUUCUAGUCUAUGGCAUGUAUAGGGUUUUAAUGUGAGUAUGUAAUAUUAUGAUUUAGCCAAAGGCAUUGGCUUGUUAUUAAGGUAGUAUUAGUCAAUGUAAAUUGGCCUAUGUCGGCUAAUAUCGUUAUGGGCCCAUAUGAUUAUUCUUAUGCAUGUAUGUUAUUAUCUCUUGUGAUGUGGCUUACAACAUGUAUGCUUAGAGAUUGAAUUGAGAUUCAUUGAUGAGCUAAUAACUAAUGCAGGAUUAAGUGAUUGGUAAAUAGUUAAUAA
Molecule: long non-coding RNA, 566 nt
Organism: Gossypium arboreum
Lineage: Eukaryota; Viridiplantae; Streptophyta; Magnoliopsida; Malvales; Malvaceae
Exons: 3
Source: RefSeq, a predicted model, not a curated record